GUAUCAGAAGUGCGAAUGCUGACAUAAGUAACGAUAAAGCGGGUGAAAAGCCCGCUCGCCGGAAGACCAAGGGUUCCUGUCCAACGUUAAUCGGGGCAGGGGGAGUCGACCCCUAAGGCGAGGCCGAAAGGCGUAGUCGAUGGGAAACGGGUUAAUAUUCCCGUACUUGGUGUUACUGCGAAGGGGGGACGGAGAAGGCUAUGUUGGCCGGGCGACGGUUGUCCCGGUUUAAGCGUGUAGGUAUGUGUUCCAGGUAAAUCCGGUUCACUUUAACACUGAGGCGUGACGACGAGGCACUACGGUGCUGAAGCAACAAAUGCCCUGCUUCCAGGAAAAGCCUCUAAGCAUCAGGUAACAUCAAAUCGUACCCCAAACCGACACAGGUGGUCAGGUAGAGAAUACCAAGGCGCUUGAGAGAACUCGGGUGAAGGAACUAGGCAAAAUGGUGCCGUAACUUCGGGAGAAGGCACGCUGACACGUAGGUGAAGUGAUUUACUCACGGAGCUGAAGUCAGCCGAAGAUACCAGCUGGCUGCAACUGUUUAUUAAAAACACAGCACUGUGCAAACACGAAAGUGGACGUAUACGGUGUGACGCCUGCCCGGUGCCGGAAGGUUAAUUGAUGGGGUCAGCGCAAGCGAAGCUCCUGAUCGAAGCCCCGGUAAACGGCGGCCGUAACUAUAACGGUCCUAAGGUAGCGAAAUUCCUUGUCGGGUAAGUUCCGACCUGCACGAAUGGCGUAAUGAUGGCCAGGCUGUCUCCACCCGAGACUCAGUGAAAUUGAACUCGCUGUGAAGAUGCAGUGUACCCGCGGCAAGACGGAAAGACCCCGUGAACCUUUACUAUAGCUUGACACUGAACAUUGAGCCUUGAUGUGUAGGAUAGGUGGGAGGCUUUGAAGUGUGGACGCCAGUCUGCAUGGAGCCGACCUUGAAAUACCACCCUUUAAUGUUUGAUGUUCUAACGUGGACCCGUGAUCCGGGUUGCGGACAGUGUCUGGUGGGUAGUUUGACUGGGGCGGUCUCCUCCUAAAGAGUAACGGAGGAGCACGAAGGUUGGCUAAUCCUGGUCGGACAUCAGGAGGUUAGUGCAAUGGCAUAAGCCAGCUUGACUGCGAGCGUGACGGCGCGAGCAGGUGCGAAAGCAGGUCAUAGUGAUCCGGUGGUUCUGAAUGGAAGGGCCAUCGCUCAACGGAUAAAAGGUACUCCGGGGAUAACAGGCUGAUACCGCCCAAGAGUUCAUAUCGACGGCGGUGUUUGGCACCUCGAUGUCGGCUCAUCACAUCCUGGGGCUGAAGUAGGUCCCAAGGGUAUGGCUGUUCGCCAUUUAAAGUGGUACGCGAGCUGGGUUUAGAACGUCGUGAGACAGUUCGGUCCCUAUCUGCCGUGGGCGCUGGAGAACUGAGGGGGGCUGCUCCUAGUACGAGAGGACCGGAGUGGACGCAUCACUGGUGUUCGGGUUGUCAUGCCAAUGGCACUGCCCGGUAGCUAAAUGCGGAAGAGAUAAGUGCUGAAAGCAUCUAAGCACGAAACUUGCCCCGAGAUGAGUUCUCCCUGAGACUUUAGGUCUCCUGAAGGAACGUUGAAGACGACGACGUUGAUAGGCCGGGUGUGUAAGCGCAGCGAUGCGUUGAGCUAACCGGUACUAAUGAACCGUGAGGCUUAACC
RNAcentral lists this ribosomal RNA (1666 nucleotides) under Salmonella enterica subsp. enterica serovar Typhi. RNAcentral describes it as "bacterial LSU rRNA". It matches the Rfam family "Bacterial large subunit ribosomal RNA", at positions 1279 to 2925 of the family's 2925-position model. Lineage: Bacteria; Pseudomonadati; Pseudomonadota; Gammaproteobacteria; Enterobacterales; Enterobacteriaceae. The record is from RNAcentral.